GUGCUCACUGCAGCAACAUACAUAUUAAAGCUAGAACUACAUAGAGAAGAUUAGCAUGGCCCCUGAGUAUGACAUGCAAAUAAGGGACGUAUUCCAUAUUUUU
Otolemur garnettii (small-eared galago) is the source of this 103-nucleotide small nuclear RNA. The record is from Ensembl. NCBI's taxonomy places the organism in Eukaryota, Metazoa, Chordata, Mammalia, Primates, Galagidae.